Molecule: ribosomal RNA, 500 nt
Filed under: uncultured bacterium
Lineage: Bacteria
Description: partial 16S ribosomal RNA
Rfam family: Bacterial small subunit ribosomal RNA
Source: RNAcentral
AUUGAACGCUGGCGGCAUGCCUUACACAUGCAAGUCGAACGGCAGCACGGGAGCAAUCCUGGUGGCGAGUGGCGAACGGGUGAGUAAAGUAUCGCAACGAGCACAGUCGAGGGGGAUAACGUAGCGAAAGUUACGCUAAUACCACAUACGAUCUACGGAUGAAAGCGGGGGAACGCAAGACUUCGCGCGAUUGGAGAGGCCGAUAUCAGAUUAGGUAGUUGGUGGGGUAAAGGCUCACCAAGCCGACGACCUGUAGCUGGUCUGAGAGGACGACCAGCCACACUGGGACUGAGACACGGCCCAGACUCCUACGGGAGGCAGCAGUGGGGAAUUUUGGACAAUGGGCGAAAGCCUGAUCCAGCCAUGCCGCGUGCAGGAUGAAGGCCUUCGGGUUGUAAACUGCUUUUGUACGGAACGAAAAGGUUUGGCCUAAUAAGCUGAGCUCAUGACGGUACCGUAAGAAUAAGCACCGGCUAACUACGUGCCAGCAGCCGCCGUAA